RNAcentral lists this ribosomal RNA (497 nucleotides) under uncultured bacterium. RNAcentral describes it as "partial 16S ribosomal RNA". It matches the Rfam family "Bacterial small subunit ribosomal RNA", at positions 28 to 507 of the family's 1533-position model. The record is from RNAcentral.
GAUGGACGCUGGCGGCGUGCCUAAUACAUGCAAGUCGAGCGAACGGACGAGAAGCUUGCUUCUCUGAUGUUAGCGGCGGACGGGUGAGUAACACGUGGAUAACCUACCUAUAAGACUGGGAUAACUUCGGGAAACCGUAGCUAAUACCGGAUAAUAUUUUGAACCGCAUGGUUCAAAAGUGAAAGACGGUCUUGCUGUCACUUAUAGAUGGAUCCGCGCUGCAUUAGCUAGUUGGUAAGGCAACGGCUUACCAAGGCAACGAUGCAUAGCCGACCUGAGAGGGUGAUCGGCCACACUGGAACUGAGACACGGUCCAGACUCCUACGGGAGGCAGCAGUAGGGAAUCUUCCGCAAUGGGCGAAAGCCUGACGGAGCAACGCCGCGUGAGUGAUGAAGGUCUUCGGAUCGUAAAACUCUGUUAUUAGGGAAGAACAUAUGUGUAAGUAACUGUGCACAUCUUGACGGUACCUAAUCAGAAAGCCACGGCUAACUACGUG